Molecule: non-coding RNA, 707 nt
Organism: Meleagris gallopavo (turkey)
Lineage: Eukaryota; Metazoa; Chordata; Aves; Galliformes; Phasianidae
Source: RefSeq, a predicted model, not a curated record
GGGAGCUUUUAAAAGAGGGUUUGGAGGCUCUGCUUCUGGGUUCGGGAUUGUUUUGUGGUGCUUGAGAUGAGGAGGGUACAGGGAGGAGCUGACUAGCUGCAGGCCAUGUUAGGAUAGAACUGAGAGGCAGCAGGUCAGACCUGUGCGCAGGGAUGGGAAUAGCAUCACCAGGGUGAGCUGAGCAAUGCUGCACCAAUUCACACCCAGAGCCAACUGAAGCCUGAACCUGAGUGACAACCCUGACUUCUCCUGGCACAUCUCAAGAGCAAGACUUUGUCACCAGGAUUACGUGGCCAACUGUUCAAGGAGGUCAUGGUGAACACAGCAAGAGGAAGGCUUCUCAUAUUCAGCUCCAAGGCACUUGACAAGGGGUACACAAAUGUACAUAUUUGGAGGAGCAUGAAGCAUCAGUCGUAUCUACACUGACCUUCAAGAUCAGAAGAUGGUAUUAAAGUCAUUACCUGGAAUUAAAAUAUUUCCUGUAUGUCAUUCCUGGAGCUGUACUAUACAGAUAGUCAAUAUAAACAAAAUGUGACCUUGUUUAAGAGUCAGAGUUCUCAGUGGUAGCCCCUGACUGAUGUAACUUCCUCUCUGGGGAAGCUCUCUUUGAUGAAGCUCUUAGGGGUCUUUUUGCAAAUCACUACAACAAUCCAGGUUUUGAUUCCUAGUUUCUAGUGCUGAAGCCAUGAGUUAUGGAUUAUAUCAGC